This 253-nucleotide ribosomal RNA is filed under the name uncultured bacterium. Its description in RNAcentral is "partial 16S ribosomal RNA". It matches the Rfam family "Bacterial small subunit ribosomal RNA", at positions 524 to 776 of the family's 1533-position model. The record is from RNAcentral.
UACGAAGGGUGCAAGCGUUACUCGGAAUUACUGGGCGUAAAGGGUGCGUAGGUGGUUUUUUAAGUCCGUUGUGAAAUCCCUGGGCUCAACCUGGGAAUGGCAGUGGAUACUGGAAAGCUAGAGUGCGGUAGAGGGUAGUGGAAUUCCCGGUGUAGCAGUGAAAUGCGUAGAGAUCGGGAGGAACACCAGUGGCGAAGGCGGCUACCUGGACCAGCACUGACACUGAGGCACGAAAGCCAGGGGAGCAAACGGG